This 82-nucleotide transfer RNA is filed under the name Sphaerosporella brunnea. It matches the Rfam family "tRNA". From Rfam's summary of the family: Transfer RNA (tRNA) molecules are approximately 80 nucleotides in length. Their secondary structure includes four short double-helical elements and three loops (D, anti-codon, and T loops). The record is from Rfam by way of RNAcentral. Lineage: Eukaryota; Fungi; Ascomycota; Pezizomycetes; Pezizales; Pyronemataceae.
UCCGCCGUGGUGUAGUGGCUAGCAUUUGUCGCUUUCAACCCAGAGCGCCGACAAGACCCGGGUUCAAUUCCCGGCGGCGGAA